AAUAUUGCACAAUGGGCGAAAGCCUGAUGCAGCGACGCCGCGUGAGGGAUGACGGCCNNNGGGUUNUCAACCUCUUUCAGAAGNGAANAAGCCUUUCGGGGUGACGGUACCCGAAGAAGAUGCGCCGGCUAACUACGUGCCAGCAGCCGCGGUAAUACGUAGGGCGCAAGCGUUGUCCGGAAUUAUUGGGCGUAAAGAGCUCGUAUGUGGCUUGUCUCGUCUGCUAUGAAAACGCAAGGCUUAACCUUGCGCCUGCAGUGGGUACGGGCAGGCUAGAGUGCGGUAGGGGAGACUGGAAUUCCUGGUGUAGCGGUGGAAUGCGCAGAUAUCAGGAGGAACACCGAUGGCGAAGGCAGAUCUCUGGGCCGUAACUGACGCUGAGGAGCGAAAGCAUGGGGAGCGAACA
This 406-nucleotide ribosomal RNA is filed under the name uncultured bacterium. RNAcentral describes it as "partial 16S ribosomal RNA". It matches the Rfam family "Bacterial small subunit ribosomal RNA", at positions 360 to 774 of the family's 1533-position model. The record is from RNAcentral.